This is a long non-coding RNA of Humulus lupulus (European hop), 1326 nucleotides long. RefSeq lists it as uncharacterized. The transcript has 3 exons. The record is from RefSeq and is a predicted model, not a curated record. Lineage: Eukaryota; Viridiplantae; Streptophyta; Magnoliopsida; Rosales; Cannabaceae.
CCCCGAACUCUCCUUUCUUUUUCUUUCUCUCCAGCCGCUGCCUUCCCUCUCUCUCAUUCCACCUCCAUCUCUGUCUUCCAGUGGGCUAAAGGAGGCAACGGGGCUUGCAAUGCAAGGUGGGACAGGGAGGCUAGCGACGCAAGGUGGGAUGGCGGGUUGGUUUCAUGUUCGGCGAGGCUAGGUUCAGCGAUGGGGUCGAGCUGUAAAGCGGCAGGGGGCUCGGGGCUAGGCUCGACAGCAACGACUGGUGGCUGGGGGCUGGGAUCGACGGCGGGUGAGGGGGUCUCGGGUCUGUGCUCAAUGGUGCAAGGGGGACGGGGUCGGGCUGUACAACGGUAGGGAGAAUAUUCAGGUAUACUUUGUCUUAUUUUUGCAGAGAUAGUUCCUGGGAAGUCACGAACUAGCGUGUAUGCAUUGGACAGGUCUUGUGAGUCUGUACUCUCAUCAUUUGCUCCCUCUGUAGUUGGGUUAUUGGCACAACAUGUUUAUGGUUAUAGAACGGUUGAUAAAGGGUCCUCUGCAUCUGAAGAGAUUGCCACAGAUAGGGGAAAUGCUGCGUCUUUGGCCAAGGCACUGUACACAGCAAUAGGAGUUUCGAUGGCUCUCUGUUGUCUUAUCUACUCAUUCCUGUAUUCAACCUAUGCAAGAGAUCAGGAGCGAGCUCAAAUGGAAACUUUUAUAGAAUCUGAGAUGCAGCAAAUAAGAUUGGAAUUACUUGCAGAUGGGCAACAUCCUCAUCAAAAACUGUUAUCUGAGUCAGGAGAACCAUAUUUGGAGGAAAGAACUGUAAUCGAACCAGAGAAGAUAGGAUACGCUAGAGCCAGCCCCACCACCACCAUUUCCAGAAGGCUACAUCCACUUCAUGAACACAUAAUAAAAAAAUGGCCCUGAAACCUAGCAAACAGGGGAGGCACAACCACCUCCCCUUGACACCAUCAUUGAUCAAGGCCCAGCUGAAAGAAUGAAAUUCUGAAUAAGAGGUAUCGCAUCAUAAGUUAUCUGUCCAGAAGUAUAUAUGUAAAGAUCUGAAGCUAAGUUAAUCACUACAACUUUAAAUAUCCGCUAACCCCCAGCCCUUUUUCAGUUGUGGUAAAGAUCUGAAGCUAAGCUAAGUUAAUCACUACAACUUUAUAUAUGUUGUGGUAGUUUUCACUUCAGUUGUUUUUCAGAGUGAGUACAAGGACAAGAAGGAGAAAUAUAUGUUGUUGGACAAUGAAUUUAGUGUUUUAUUUUAUUUGUAAUUUUUAUUAGAGUAAAUGAUUCUUUGUAAAUACUUUGUAUAAGUUUUGUUAUUUUAAUCUAUAAUUUUUUAGAUUUGUAUAUAAA